AUUGAACGCUGGCGGCAGGCCUAACACAUGCAAGUCGAACGAGUGGCGGACGGGUGAGUAAUGUCUGGGAACCUCCCUGAUGGAGGGGGAUAACUACUGGAAACGGUAGCUAAUACCGCAUACCAUCAGAUGUGCCCAGAUGGGCUUAGCUAGUGGGUGGGGUAAGCGCUCACCAAGGCGACGAUCCCUAGCUGGUCUGAGAGGAUGACCGGCCGCACUGGAGCGGAGACAGGGUCCAGAGUCCUGCGGGAGGCAGCAGAGGGGAAUAUUGCGCAAUAGGCGCGAGCCUGAUGCAGCCAGGGCGCGUGUAUGAAGGAGGCGUUCGGGUGGUAAAGUACUUUCAGCGGGGGGGCGUUACCCGCAGAAGAAGCACCGGCUAACUCCGUGCCAGCAGCCGCGGUAAUAC
This 406-nucleotide ribosomal RNA is filed under the name uncultured bacterium. RNAcentral's name for it is "partial 16S ribosomal RNA". It matches the Rfam family "Bacterial small subunit ribosomal RNA", at positions 29 to 526 of the family's 1533-position model. The record is from RNAcentral.